AUGGCGUCGCUCGCCGGAGCCGCACUCGCCUCCUGCAGCAUCCUUCUCCUCCUGCUCGUCCCCUGCGCCCAGGGCCAGGGGCAACCACCCGAGGCACCGGAGGAGGCUUGGGCCGAGGGGCAACCACCGGAGGCGUCGGAGGACGCUUUGACGAUGCUCUUGUCCGAUGGCGGGUGCCGCGCCUUCUCCGGCCUCGUCGCCAUGACGGCCGGCGUGGGCGACGCGUUCCGCGAGCAGAUCGGCAGCGAUCUGGGGCUCACCAUCCUCUGCCCUGACGACGAGGCGGUGGGGGCGUUCAUGCCGAGGUUCCAUAGCCUCACCGCCGACGAGCAGGUCGCGGUUCUCCUGUACCACGGCCUGACGAUGGCUUACUCUGAGGAGCUGCUCAGCUGGGUGACCUGGGUCCACGGGGAGUUCUCGACGCUUGAUGGGGAGGAUAUGCUCACCAUCCGUCACCACAGAGGCAGGCUGAUGCUUUCUUCGUGGCCGCCGUCGUCACGUAACAAGGCCAGGAUCACCAAGACGGUCGUCGACGACGACCAUCUCGCCGUCUACCUCAUAGACGCCGUGCUGAUUCCGGCAGAUCCCAAGCGUCAAAGAGUUGUGGCACUUAUCGUCAUUAUUGUGGUACUUGUUGCCGGCGUGCUCGUGGCGAUAUUCUUGCUGUUUCAUGCACUUGUAUAUCUUGGUUCUCUUGUGUGCCGGUUGAGAAGUUGGUGUAAGGGUCGCGCUGCUGCCUAUGCUUCGGCCGCCCGUGUCACUCCACAUGGGCAAGGGCAACAAGAACACUAG
Molecule: ribosomal RNA, 792 nt
Filed under: Triticum aestivum (bread wheat)
Lineage: Eukaryota; Viridiplantae; Streptophyta; Magnoliopsida; Poales; Poaceae
Description: partial small subunit ribosomal RNA
Source: RNAcentral